GACGGGGACCCGCACAAGCGGUGGAUGAUGUGGAUUAAUUCGAUGCAACGCGAAAACCUUUACCUACCCUUGACAUGUCCGGAAUCCCGAAGUAGAUUUGGGAGUGCUCGCAAGAGAGCCGGAACACAGGUGCUGCAUGGCUGUCGUCAGCUCGUGUCGUGAGAUGUUGGGUUAAGUCCCGCAACGAGCGCAACCCUUGUCAUUAGUUGCCAUCAUUUGGUUGGGCACUCUAAUGAGACUGCCGGUGACAAACCGGAGGAAGGUGGGGAUGACGUCAAGUCCUCAUGGCCCUUAUGGGUAGGGCUUCACACGUCAUACAAUGGUCGGUACAGAGGGUUGCCAACCCGCGAGGGGGAGCUAAUCCCAUAAAGCCAGUCGUAGUCCGGAUCGCAGUCUGCAACUCGACUGCGUGAAGUCGGAAUCGCUAGUAAUCGUGGAUCAGCAUGUCACGGUGAAUACGUUCCCGGGUCUU
This 472-nucleotide ribosomal RNA is filed under the name uncultured Rhodocyclaceae bacterium. RNAcentral describes it as "bacterial SSU rRNA". It matches the Rfam family "Bacterial small subunit ribosomal RNA", at positions 912 to 1382 of the family's 1533-position model. Lineage: Bacteria; Pseudomonadati; Pseudomonadota; Betaproteobacteria; Rhodocyclales; Rhodocyclaceae. The record is from RNAcentral.